Dromaius novaehollandiae (emu) is the source of this 481-nucleotide long non-coding RNA. RefSeq lists it as uncharacterized. Lineage: Eukaryota; Metazoa; Chordata; Aves; Casuariiformes; Dromaiidae. The record is from RefSeq and is a predicted model, not a curated record. The transcript is spliced from 4 exons.
AAGGGAAGAAUGGAUUAAUGCUAGUUACUGUAGUUCAUACACUGACUCUUCACUAUACUCUGAUACUACUACACUCAGUAUGGCCCUAUCCAGCAGGGCACAGAAGGAUACAUACAACUUGCUGCUGAACAGUACUUUCCGAGGGCUGUUGAAAACAAGAUUAUAAAAGUAGAAAAAAAUCUCACAUAUGAUGCUAGGGGCUCUGAACUGAAACCACAUUAAAAGCAAUUGCUUCUGGCUGGCUUGGAUCCCAAGGAUUCGCCAUGUGUACACUGCCUAGAAGAAACUAACGCUCAACAAUGAAGACAUAACCCAGUCUGCACUACAAGGCCUGAGAGCUAGGAACUGAUCCUCAGAAUUGAUGCUUUUAGUAUUUAGAGGUAGCCGCCACAUACUAAUAGCCCCCACAUAUCAGAUUUAAACACACCCACACACCAAGAAAGCUAGUGUUAGCAUUAGAGUUCAAUGUGAAGACUACACU